UACGUAGGGGGCGAGCGUUGUCCGGAUUCAUUGGGCGUAAAGAGCUCGUAGGCGGUUCGGCAAGUCGGGUGUGAAAACUCCAGGCUCAACCUGGAGACGCCACCCGAUACUGCUGUGACUCGAGUCCGGUAGGGGACCACGGAAUUCCUGGUGUAGCGGUGAAAUGCGCAGAUAUCAGGAGGAACACCAAUGGCGAAGGCAGCUCGCUGGGACGGUACUGACGCUGAGACGCGAAAGCGUGGGGAGCAAACAGG
This 254-nucleotide ribosomal RNA is filed under the name uncultured bacterium. Its description in RNAcentral is "partial 16S ribosomal RNA". It matches the Rfam family "Bacterial small subunit ribosomal RNA", at positions 524 to 776 of the family's 1533-position model. The record is from RNAcentral.